Molecule: ribosomal RNA, 348 nt
Filed under: uncultured soil bacterium
Lineage: Bacteria
Description: bacterial SSU rRNA
Rfam family: Bacterial small subunit ribosomal RNA
Source: RNAcentral
AGAAUCAACGCUGGCGGCGUGCCUCAGACAUGCAAGUCGAACGAUUAAACUUUCCUUCGGGAAAGAUAUAAAGUGGCGCACGGGUGAGUAACACGUAAGUAAUCUACCUUUGAGUGGGGAAUAACAGUCGGAAACGGCUGCUAAUACCGCAUAAUGCAGCGGCAUCGCAAGAUGACAGUUGUUAAAGGAGCAAUCCGCUUAAAGAGGAGCUUGCGGCAGAUUAGCUAGUUGGUAAGGUAAUGGCUUACCAAGGCUACGAUCUGUAACCGGUCUAAGAGGACGGUCGGUCACACUGACACUGAAUAACGGGUCAGACUCCUACGGGAGCAGCAGUCGGAAUUUGGCAAU